UCUCUAGUAGCAUAUGGGUUAGUACAGGCGCCUGUAACGCGUAAAAGCUGGGUUCGAUUCCCAGCCAGAGAG
RNAcentral lists this transfer RNA (72 nucleotides) under Armillaria ostoyae. It matches the Rfam family "tRNA". Rfam says of the family: Transfer RNA (tRNA) molecules are approximately 80 nucleotides in length. Lineage: Eukaryota; Fungi; Basidiomycota; Agaricomycetes; Agaricales; Physalacriaceae. The record is from RNAcentral.